This 509-nucleotide ribosomal RNA is filed under the name Atractaspis bibronii. RNAcentral describes it as "partial 16S ribosomal RNA". It matches the Rfam family "Bacterial large subunit ribosomal RNA", at positions 1816 to 2597 of the family's 2925-position model. The record is from RNAcentral. Lineage: Eukaryota; Metazoa; Chordata; Lepidosauria; Squamata; Atractaspididae.
AACCUUUAGCCAAACAAGUAUUAAAGGCAACGCCUGCCCGGUGAAUAAUUAAACGGCCGCGGUACCCUAACCGUGCAAAGGUAGCGUAAUCAUUUGUCUAUUAAUUGUAGACCCGUAUGAAAGGCAAAAUGAGGGCCUAACUGUCUCUUAUAAUAAAUCAAUUAAACUGAUCUCCCAGUUAAAAAGCUGGAAUAUUAACAUAAGACCAGAAGACCCUGUGAAGCUUAAACUAAACUAUUAAACCAAAUAAUAACUCCUUUCGGUUGGGGCGACCUUGGAAAAAAAAAUAACUUCCAAACAUAAUGAAAAUUAAAUCAUUAACACAAGGCUGACAAGCCAAACUAGACCCAGCACAGCUGAUUAUUGAACCAAGUUACUCCAGGGAUAACAGCGCCAUCCUCUUCAAGAGCCCAUAUCAAAAAGAGGGUUUACGACCUCGAUGUUGGAUCAGGACAUCCUAAUGGUGCAGCCGCUAUUAAGGGUUCGUUUGUUCAACGAUUAACAGUCCU